This is a small nucleolar RNA of Ochotona princeps (American pika), 91 nucleotides long. The record is from RefSeq and is a predicted model, not a curated record. Lineage: Eukaryota; Metazoa; Chordata; Mammalia; Lagomorpha; Ochotonidae.
GGGCUCCCGUGAUGGCCAGCACUGGGCUCUGACCACCCCUGAAGACGCAGUGCGCCCCGGGACCUUUGACACCCGGGGGUCUGAGGAGUCU